This 324-nucleotide ribosomal RNA is filed under the name uncultured eukaryote. RNAcentral's name for it is "partial 18S ribosomal RNA". It matches the Rfam family "Eukaryotic small subunit ribosomal RNA", at positions 1470 to 1796 of the family's 1831-position model. The record is from RNAcentral.
CCCUUAGAUGUUCUGGGCUGCACGCGCGCUACACUGAAGCUAUCAACACGUUUUCCCUCCCUGAGAAGGGCGGGUAACCUUUUGAAUCAGCUUCGUGGUAGGGAUCGGGGCUUGCAAUUGUUCCCCGUGAACCAGGAAUUCCUAGUAGACGCGAGUCAUAAGCUCGCAUCGAUUAAGUCCCUGCCCUUUGAACACACCGCCCGUCGCUACUACCGAUUGAACGUUUUAGUGAGGCAUUUGGACCGACGCAUCUCAGUUUAACCGCUGGUUUGUGUUGGAAAGACUUCCAAACUUGAGCGUUUAGAGGAAGUAAAAGUCGUAACA